This is a long non-coding RNA of Rosa rugosa (rugosa rose), 3312 nucleotides long. RefSeq lists it as uncharacterized. The record is from RefSeq and is a predicted model, not a curated record. NCBI's taxonomy places the organism in Eukaryota, Viridiplantae, Streptophyta, Magnoliopsida, Rosales, Rosaceae. The transcript has 3 exons.
GAAUUAUCGAAGUUUCGAAAUAUUCGUUUUAACAAAAGCUCGAAUUGUGCGAUUCAAGAAAAAUCGACUUUUCUACGUACGGAAUUUGGGAAAACUUCCUUCAUAAAAGUUGUAGAGCUCGUCGAUAUGAUCGCGUGCAUAUGUCGAACGAAAUUUUUGGAGUUCGUACGAUUAUGUUACGAAUUUUGGAAAUAUGAGAUUCUUUUUAUAAUCUCUUUUCCUCGGAUUCUCUUUUAGAAAUUUCUUUUUCUUCCUUUUCCUUUUUCUUUUCCUUUCCUCCGGGUCUCCUUCCUUCUUUUUCUUUUUCUCUUUAUUUUUCUUCUUUCUCUCUCUCGCUCGACCGAAACCGAAAACAGAGCAAAGGCUCUUCGGUCUCUCUCUACCUCCACCGGCCACCAAACGGCGUCGAACCACUUCCUUUUGCUUCGUCUCAGCCUUGCGCAGCUGCCAGAGGCAGCCUUGCACCGUGACACGGCCACCAGCGGCUGCGGGAAGCUCCGCCCGGUUUGAGCUCGUUUUGGAAACAAGCUUGAUAUCUCUCGAUUCCGGCCACCAGUCCUCGUCAGACUUCUUCCAUUGGCUUCGCCUUGACCUUGCGCACCUGUCUGUGGCAGCCUUGCACCGCGGCGCGGCCUGUAGCGGCGGAGGGAAGCUCGGCCCGAUUUGAGUUCGAUUUUGAGUCAACGCUGAUAUCUCGAGUUCUAGGCGACCAAUCUUCAAUAUUCUUGGACUGGUGAACUCAGAUUGAGGAUAUGAACAAGUUUCAUGAAGAGAUCGAGCUGAGUGGUGGAACUUUUUACGUCGAAUGGAGCACCCGCCGGUUUCUGGAAAAUUUCCGGCCAAACCCAACUGUUCUAGGUGAUCGACGGUUUGAUUUGGCGGACGAUUCGUGAAAUUGUAUUUUGAGCUGUUAAGAAGACGCAGCGGGAAUUUAGAGCGGGAAAUCCUACAGGUCAGGAAGAUCAAGGCGGAGAUCGUGCGGGUUAGAGUUUUUGUUUCAGUUUACAGCUUUGUAAAUUGUGAGAUGUAUUAUUGAGAGUUGUGAAGUGUGGUUGUUGUGAGAAAAAAAUUCAGGACGUUUAUUCUAUUAAGUUGUAUAAUUCAUGUUUUCGGAUUUUAAUUGUAUUUAAAAUUCGGGGCGUGACAGUUUGGUAUCAGAGCGUAAGGUGCAUAUUUGGUGAUGUGUCAAUACCUUCCGAGUGAUGGCCCGUCUGCAGCGGAUCCCCAUCGUGUGCUCUUCGGUAUUGGCUAAGUCACUGGGUAUGCGUGAGUGUUGGGAGUUGUUUAGGCCGCUAGGUCGUUUAGGGAACGUGAUUACCUUCCCUAUAGUAUUGACUUGGUUAAUAUGAAUUUGUAUUUGACUUAUACUGUGUUUUAAGUGUUAUACAUGUCUUAGCCAAGCAUACUAUACUCCUUAGGUGAUGGAUAUUCGAAGGGGUUGUACUUAGAACCUUACAGUUGUCUUGUAGGUUCGUAUUGGAAUAAGUUCAGUGACCGCGAGUCACAAUCCUUGAGGAAUAGGAACCUCUUGAUUCAACUCUGUUAAGUCAACGAGGAUUGUUUUAUGGAAAUGAAGUUCUUUCGUAUGUUGAAGUGUUUGGUUGGAGGCAUGAUGUUGACCUAUGCAUGUACCUAGGUUGGAUACGAGUAUAAAUUGAUGGAGAUUUUUCCUUCUUAAGUUGGAUAUACAGAUGUUUUUGGAUGGGAUGUACGUAUCAAGGACUAAAUAUCUUGUUUUGUAAUGAGAUGUCCUUGUGGAGUUUGUUAGUAGGGUUGAGGUUAGGGAAGAAAUUAUUGUGGUUACUUCUUCCUUGUGCUUGUAAGUUGUUAAGCAGGGUCUAAGGUGCGAGACAAGAGUUUUAUUUUGUGCUCGAUGGUUAGAGAUGAGAGACCAUUGUUUUGGGUUGUCGUUGAGUACUAUAAUUCCUUCAGAAUCAGGAUUGUUGGUAGAAUUGGAAUUAGUAGUAGUUUUGGUGAUUCGGAAUUUGAAUUGAGUUCGCGAGAUGUGUCUUAUAUACGUGGUUGAUGUUGCUUGCAUCAUUUUGGAACGAUACGUUACGAUUCACAAGGAAAACUGGAUUUGAAAUUUAUUCAUUUGAACACCAUGGGUUGAUGACCUGACCGUGACUUGUGAAUAUAGUUUUGUUCAAGUGAAUGAAAUUGAAUUUUGUGGCCCUUGUGUGGUGAACUAGUUUUCUUAAGUUUUGGAUCGCAGUAUGGAGAUGGACUGCAGUGAAUUUGAAGUUGUUGUGUGUUUUAAGUUUAAGUAGGCGGGACACUUAAAGUUUUGCAAUGGAGUUGAUUUUGGUGUAAUUAAUUGGGAGAGUUAGAAUCAGUUCUUGUGAAUGAUGUUGGAUGAGAGUGUGUGCCUUUGGUGAUUGAUUUUAGGUGAUAUAGUUAAACGCAAUUUCGGAUAUUGAUUUUAGUGACUUUGUUAGGUAUCCAUAGUGGUUCAAGUGAAUUACUAUGUGAUAUGGAGUUUGAUUCGAUUUCUGAAUCGCUAAAUGUUAGGGAUUGAAUUGUGGUGAGUUUUUGUUGAAGCAAUUGAUAGAUGGAAUUAUCGAGAUUCUAUAAGAGUUGUAAGAGUAACUCUAAAGACGUGGGUUUUCCUAGCUAACUCAGGAUGUGUUUAGCUUUAUAAAUCCCUAAUCCUAUCGAUGAAAUUGUUUGUGUUUGGUUUGACUCAGAGGAUACUAGCUAGAUCUCGAUGCGACAUAUUUGAUUGUUGGAUUCUUUUUGAGUGAUUGUUUUUAUUGCAUCAUUAUGAAAGAUGUGUGCAGUAGAGUUGUUUAUGGUUUUGAAAAUAGUAUUGGGUGACCAAGGUUCGAUCCUUGGUGUUGUUGUUGGUUAAACAAACAGGAAAGAAAACAUGCACACCAUCUUAUUGAGUUUAUAUUACAAAAAAAAAAAAAAAAAAAAAAAAAAAAAAAAAAAGGAAAACGAGGACUAUGCUGUACUAAGCCUAGUCAGCAGCUCCGGAUGGGUUGAGGCUGAGCUCAAGAGAAACUGGAGAUCCACGGUUGUAACCGCCUGAGCCACCGAAAUAGUAAUCAUGUGCACUACCUUCCUCGGAAGUAGUCUUCAGGUUACCAAAGACGUCCUCGCCGUGCACGGGGAACAGAGGAAGAGUUUGAACCUCCUGGUGAUCUCCUCCUCGUUGUUGCAGGGAUGUUUGUCCUCCUGUUGUGCCAAAAGAGUUGUACUAGUAUUAGUGUUGAAGUGUGAGGAAGAAUAUGAAACAGAAUUUAAAUCAAGAAAUCCUUCAUUACCAGUAGAAUAGGUGGAACCAAAGUUGAGAUCAAUGGAUCUACC